This 1330-nucleotide ribosomal RNA is filed under the name human gut metagenome. Its description in RNAcentral is "bacterial LSU rRNA". It matches the Rfam family "Bacterial large subunit ribosomal RNA", at positions 1087 to 2495 of the family's 2925-position model. The record is from RNAcentral.
AGACAACCAGGAUGUUGGCUCAGAAGCAGCCAUACAUUCAAAGAGUGCGUAAUAGCUCACUGGUCGAGUGGUUCUGCGCCGAAAAUUUAACGGGGCUAAACGAUACACCGAAGCUUGGGAUGCAGCAUUGGCUGCAUGGUAGGAGAGCGUUCUGUACGGGGUGAAGUCAUAGCGGAAGCGGUGGUGGACUGUACAGAAGAGAGAAUGCCGGAAUGAGUAGCGAGAUUUAUGUGAGAAUCAUAAAGGCCGAAAGACUAAGGAUUUAGAAGGAAGGUUCGUCCGCUUCUAGUUAGCCGGGAGCUAAGGCGAGGCCGAAAGGCGUAGUCGAUGCACAUACGGUGGAGAUUCCGUAGCCGCCUCUUAAUUUAAGCAAAGGGACACUUUCAAAGGGAAUGACCCGGGCGUUGGUAGCCCCGGGCGAAAGGGACCGAAAUUAGAGUAGGGAAGCAUUUCUGGAGGAAGGCGAGAAAAGCUUUGCGGAUAGAGAGAGGCGCCCGUACCGCAAACCGACACAGGUAGUCAGGAAGAGGAUUCUAAGGCCAACGGGAGAAGGGUAGUUAAGGAACUCGGCAAAUUGACCCCGUAACUUCGGAAUAAGGGGUGCUCCUGAAAAGGAGCCGCAGUGAAUAGGCCCAGGCGACUGUUUAUCAAAAACACAGCUCUCUGCUAAAUCGAAAGAUGAAGUAUAGGGGGUGACACCUGCCCGGUGCUGGAAGGUUAAGAGGAAGGGUGCAAGCUCUGAAUUGAAGCCCCAGUAAACGGCGGCCGUAACUAUAACGGUCCUAAGGUAGCGAAAUUCCUUGUCGGGUAAGUUCCGACCCGCACGAAUGGUGUAACGAUCUGGGCACUGUCUCAACUACCCACCCGGCGAAAUUGUAGUACCGGUGAAGAUGCCGGUUACCCGCGGCAAGACGGAAAGACCCCAUGGAGCUUUACUGUAGCCUGAUAUUGGGUUUCGGUAUUCUAUGUACAGGAUAGGCGGGAGACUGGGAACCGAUGGCGUCAGCUGUCGGGGAGUCACCCUUGGGAUACCGCUCUUAGAGUACUGGAAUUCUAACCUGCGGCCGUGAAUCCGGCCGGGGGACAUUGUCAGGUGGGCAGUUUGACUGGGGCGGUCGCCUCCAAAAAGGUAACGGAGGCGCUCAAAGGUUCGCUCAGCACGGACGGAAACCGUGCCUCUGAGUGCAAACGCAAAAGCGAGCCUAACUGCGAGGCUGACGGGCCGAGCAGUAACGAAAGUUGGAGUUAGUGAUCCGGCGGUAUGUGAGUGGAAAUGCCGUCGCUCAACGGAUAAAAGCUACCCUGGGGAUAACAGGCUGAUCUCCCCCAA